GACUGUCUCAUUUUAUUUGAUGUUAGAAUUUAAUUUUUUAGUUAAAAAGCUAAAAUUUAAUUGGAAGACGAGAAGACCCUAUAGAGCUUUAUAUUUAUUUAAUUAAUUAUUUUUAGAUUAUUUAUGAUUAAUUGAUUUAAUAUUUUGUUGGGGUGACAAAAAUAUAUAAUUAACUUUUUUAUUUAUAUAACAUUAAUUUAUGAUUAUAGGAUCCUUUAUUAUUGAUUAUUAGAUUAAGUUACCUUAGGGAUAACAGCGUAAUCCUCCCCCAGAGUUCAUAUUUACGGGAGGGCUUGCGACCUCGAUGUUGGAUUAAGAUAAUAUUUAGGUGUAGCCGCUUAAUUUAUAGGUCUGUUCGACCUUUAAAUUCUUACAUGAUCUGAU
Molecule: ribosomal RNA, 384 nt
Filed under: Hesperocordulia berthoudi
Lineage: Eukaryota; Metazoa; Arthropoda; Insecta; Odonata; Corduliidae
Description: partial 16S ribosomal RNA
Rfam family: Bacterial large subunit ribosomal RNA
Source: RNAcentral